Molecule: ribosomal RNA, 492 nt
Filed under: uncultured bacterium
Lineage: Bacteria
Description: partial 16S ribosomal RNA
Rfam family: Bacterial small subunit ribosomal RNA
Source: RNAcentral
AGUGAACGCUGGCGGUAGGCCUAACACAUGCAAGUCGAACGGCAGCAGAGUAAGAGCUGGCGCUUACGGGAGGCGAGGGGCGGACGGGUGAGAAAUACAGCGGAAUCUACGUUGUCGGGGGGGAUAACGUGGGGAAAGUUACGCUAAUACCGCAUCGUACCAACGGGAGAAAGCAGGGGAUCUUCGGACCUUGCGCGAGGGAAUGAGCCGAUGGCGGAUUAGCUAGUUGGGGGGGUAAAGGCCCACCAAGGCGGCGAUCCGGAGCUCGUGUGAGAGGGUGUGCCCCGACACUGGAACAGAGACACGCUCCACACUCCCCCGCGAGGCGGAGGUGGGGAGUAUUGGACACUGGGGGCACACGUGAUCCAGCCCUACCGCGCGGAUGAAGAAGGCCUUCGGGUUGUAAAGCCCUUUUGUUGGGGAGGAAGAGAAGCAGGUUAAUACCUCGGCGUUUUGACGUUACCCGAAGAAUAAGCACCGGCUAACUCCGUG